Long non-coding RNA from Lynx canadensis (Canada lynx), 3566 nucleotides. RefSeq lists it as uncharacterized. The record is from RefSeq and is a predicted model, not a curated record. The transcript has 3 exons. Lineage: Eukaryota; Metazoa; Chordata; Mammalia; Carnivora; Felidae.
UGACACCGAGGCGGAAGUGCGGCCGGCCGCCAGGCAGACUGACAGCCGGCGCUCUCCACUCGCAGCGCCCGGCGCCGGAGCGUCGGCGGCCGUCCGCCCAAUCCGCGCCCGGCCCGAGGGCCGCGCCGGGAGGCGGGACUAUGCUAAUCAUUUGCGGGAGCGGCAACCCCCGUUGCCCCUCGGGAGUCCCGCCCGCGCGGAGGAGUGACGCCACGGACAGCCAGUCACAGCAGGCAGAGGCGGGGUUAUGCAGAUAUUGACCCCAGGUCUGGGUUUGGGUGAGUGGAGUAACAGGAACCAACCAGGCUGGUUGCUCAGAACGUGAUUGAUUCAGGGACCUCUCCAGAACUGGGCCGGCUGAGAGAAAGACGCUGUCUGGAGCUACUUACUGGGCGUCUUGCCACUGUGAGGGAUGUGGCGCCCGGGAAUGAGGCCAGCCCAGAGGGAAGCGAGAGCACACGUCCUGGGUCACCUGGAACAGCUACACCCUAAGCAAGCUCUGUCCUAGACUUUUCAGUUACAGGAGCUACUGUAUUUUCUUUUCUGCUGAAGCCAGUUUGAGUACAAAGGAAUACUGGGUCUUGCACCCCCAACAGUACUGACAGAGUAGUCGUGACCACAUGGCACACGGAGACAGUCCCGCUCACGGCCGCCUCUUCCACAAAGCCGGACCCCACCCCCACCGUGCCCCACCCGGCCUCCUGUCCCCCAAUGCUGGUCUCCGCGCUGCCGCCUCAGAAUGUGAUUCCCCAUCUCUAGCAAGGAGGAGGUACUGACAGGUCACCCCCAGCGGGACUAAGGGUGCCUUGAGGGCAGGGGCCGGCCUUGACUGAGUGGAUGGGGUCUCCAGCAGGGGUGGGGCCCAGAGAUCCCGUCAUCCCCAAUCCUAGAGACUGGCCCAGCUCACUGGUGGGCCCUGUCACUGCCGCCCGCCGACGUGCUGGGACUGAAAAGGAGCUCUCCCAACCUCUGCUGUAGAGAGAAACCAGGAGGGGGUGGGGCCAAGCCUCCGAAACAAAGGCGUUGCCAUGGUUACCCCUGAAGAAACCGACCCCGGCAGAAGAGGGAGGUGUGUGCAGGCCCCCAAGCCAGGACAAGGACAAGGCCUGUUGCCAUGGAGAUGCUCCAAAGCUUCCCUUGUGGGCCUGGCCAAAGUCCAGUGCAGGGUCCCGAAACCACCACCCCUCAUUCCAAGACGGGGCUUUGCGAUUCUGACCUAGGGCAAAGGACACGCCCCGAGGGAUUCAACCUGCCGGCCCACCCCGUGGCCAUGACCUCUGGGGUGAGUGCGGUAUCGGGGAGCUAGGGCCAGAGGAGAGGCUGGAAUGGAAAGAGUCUCCUGUCUGCCCACGGGCCACACCAGGGCUCAGCUUGACCACCUCUGCCCUGGCCUUGGAGUGGGGUAGGGUCUGACCCCAGGUGGGCCCUGCGGCUGGGAUAUCAGUUUACCCCCUUUUAACAGAUGCAAUAAACUGAGUUCCAAGGAUCAGGUGCUGGUCCUUCCUGGUCCCCGAGGCCAGGACUGAGUGAGAAUCCCCUCUUGGCUGAUGGCUGGGAGGACGGCACCUGGGACCCAACGCAGGAGCAUUUUUCCUGAUCUUCAGUAGGUCAAGAGGCCGAUUCCAGAGGCAAAAUUCUCUAAGAAUGGGACAGAAGAUGGGAGCGGAAAAGGAGACAGAGGGUUUGGGGCCAUGCGAUGAUGGUGGUGGUGGCUGACGUCAUCCAGUGGGUGACAUGUCCAGUUUCACGCCUGCGACGGCCAACCGAGUAGAUACUAUGUGUGAUUCCCACUGUGCAGAUGAGCAGACUGAGCCUGUGCUGAGGAAGCGGCCCAGGAGCUUGUCAGAAAGACAGAGACCUGCCCAGACCUCUCCACCGGGUCUGCCCCUGAACCAGAUGCCCAGCUGUUCCUGGGUGGCUGGGGCCCUGUGGGACUCCAUCUGGGUCACCAUAUCAACUACUGUUGACCUACCCACUGGCGGGGGAUUGCCACAGAGUCUCCUCCAUCCUGAGCGCUCAGGCCUGGCUUGGCUCCCAGGGUCCCCUCGGGAUCCCGGGGUCCAUCCACGUAUGCUGGGCUGGUACGUAACUUUCAGGGUGCCUGCUCCUGCAGGAACGGCUCUCCGACCAGGCCAACCCCAAGAGUGUCUGUGUGUCCCUCACCGCCCCAGAAUUAGAACCUCCCUGUCCCACGUCCCGCACGAGGCUCAGUUGAUAUCGUGACCCAGCAGCCCUGUGGGUGGCUGCCCGGCCUCCCCUCAGCAGCUGGCCGACCUGUGGGCCCGGUGCCCGGAAGCCCCAAAUGUGUGGGAACGCGUGCCCCUGCUGUGCCGUCAGGAGGCACGUUCACACGCACUACCCUCCUGGCUGUCUCCCCGAGAGGACGCAGAACACGGAUGAUGCCUCCUUCAGAUGGGGAAACUGAGGCUCAGGCAGCAGAGCAGGCUGUCCGCUCGCUGCAGAGCCGGCCGGCAGCCAGAGCCACCCCGUAAGCCCAACCGGGCUGGGCGUCCAGGAGUGCCGAUGCCCGCACUGCUGGCCUGGCCUUUGCCUUGGAAGGGGGCGGGGCGGGGCCCGAGGCUCAGCCCUCUCCCUGCCACCCACGGGCCUUUGCAGAGACACUUUCCGCUCUCUUCUGUGGGAUGCUGGGGCGUCUCCUCUGAGGAUGCCACCUGGGUGGCCGGAGAGCGCUGGCCACCGCGGCCUGGCCCUGGCCCUCACGUGGCCCAAGCGGAUCCUUCCCCAUGCAACCUUCUCGUCUCCUCUGCAACGUGACAGCGCUCGGCUUCCCCGUCGUCGGAGGAGGGUAUUUUUAGUUUUGAACCCACCACGUGAAGAGAGACAAGUUAUCAAUAGCAGCGGCAAAGGGCUUUUUCUUUUUUUUCCCCAUGGCUUUGGGGCCUGAGCAAUCUGCACCCGUUAAAUUCUGCCAAAGAAAAAGCAGUGCCUUCCUCUUACCCACUUUCCACCCCGCUGCGGCUCCGCCAGCCAGCUCCUCCCGGCGCGACCCCGCCUGACUCAGCGGCACCCCCAUCCCUGGGGGAGGGAGUUGGCCCUGAGGUCAGCGUGUCCCCUGGACCCCUGGAGGAACGGGCGGGGGUGAGCUGACCCCGGGGGCCGAGAGAGAGGGCAAGGCAGGCGCGCGGGGGGUUGGCGGGGCCCCGCCUUCCACACCCACAGAGGUCACAUAGGCCCCACUUCUAGCUUCAGUAGCAGCCCUAGCAUUUAUGGAGCACUUACCGUGUACCCAGCAGUGGGCUGAGCAUCUUUGAGGGCGCUUUCCCAAACCAGGUGCCGUGCAAUCCCCAGUCCCUUGUGGCUGUUAUUAGGUGUUUCUGGAAGAAAGGGUUUCGUGGCCAAGUAGGUUUGGGAAAGCUAUGUAAAUGAAGCCGACGAGGGGGCACCCAGGUGGCUCAGUCAGUUAAGCGUCUUGAUCUCGGCUCAGGUCAUGAUCUCACGGUCCGUGAGCCCUAAGACCCAUGUGGAGCUCAGUGCAGAGAGCAGAGCACAGAGCGUGGAGCCUGCUGGGAACUCUCUCUCCCUCCCUCCCUCUCUCUGCCCCUCCC